UGGGGAAUUGUUCACAAUGGGCGCAAGCCUGAUGACGCAACGCCGCGUGGGGGAUGAAGGUCUUCGGAUCGUAAACCCCUGUCGAAUGGGACGAAAGACUCGCGUCUUAACACUGCGCGAGAUUGACGGUACCUCCAAAGGAAGCACCGGCUAACUCUGUCCCCGCAGCCGCGGUAAUACAGAGGGUGCGAGCGUUGUCCGGAAUCACUGGGCGUAAAGGGCGCGUAGGCGGCCUGGUAAGUAGGGGGUGAAAUCCUGCGGCUCAACCGCAGGGCUGCCUUCUAAACUGUCAGGCUGGAGCACGGUAGAGGCAGAUGGAAUUCCCGGUGUAGCGGUGGAAUGCGUAGAGAUCGGGAAGAACACCAGUGGCGAAGGCGGUCUGCUGGGCCGUUGCUGACGCUGAGGCGCGAUAGCGUGGGGAGCAAA
This 426-nucleotide ribosomal RNA is filed under the name uncultured bacterium. RNAcentral's name for it is "bacterial SSU rRNA". It matches the Rfam family "Bacterial small subunit ribosomal RNA", at positions 355 to 772 of the family's 1533-position model. The record is from RNAcentral.